CUUGAUAUACCUGCAAAAAGAACUACUCUUAUAUCUUGAUGAAUGUAAAAGAUAUCAACAAAUUCAAAAAGGAAUUAAUCAUGAAUUAAACUGAAAAAUACAAUAAAAAAAUUACUAACACUAACAAGACUCAACCAAAAGCAAUCAAACUUGACAGAGAUUUUAUGGGAAAAGGCAAAGUGAUAGCAUGACUAAAUUAAAAACGAACUAGAUGAAAGUAGCUAAGCAUGCUAAGAAUAUGGUACAAAGUAUGUGAACUAAAUCCUAGGAAUGAGGAUGAUAAACAAUUAGUAGCAAAAUAAUAGGGUAAAAAAAUAAUGUUAGUAAGCAUCAAAAGAAAGUAAAAGAAAAGAGAAAAUCGUUAGAAGAGGACCAGUAGUCGGAAGAGUGACGGCGUGAAAGUUACGUGCGGUUGGGGUCGACCAUAGGCGUGGGUGAUGGGGCCUUAUGGAUCGCGCAAGGGGAGAAGAGGUGAGAGGGGAGAAAAAUAGGAGAAGAGAAGAGGGCUAGAGGCAGCUGGUUGGUGGUGGGGAAGAGGAUUUCGGUGGCUAGGGUUAGGUUUUGGGGAAGGGGAUGACGAAUGGUGAGGGGUUUAUAUAGAUUUUGGGGCACACGGCUAUGGGGCACGCCCGUGUGUUUCGUGAUUUUCAAAUUUGGGGCGCAUCUAAAAUUCGACCCACGCCCGUGUUUAUUGGGCGUGUUGGUGCACACAGCCGUGUCGCACGGCCGUGUCCUACUUCGUUCGCUUCUCUCACGCCCAUGUAUGGAUGCACACGCCCAUGUUAAUUUCACAGUCUCGAGCACAGGUGGUGGGCACGGGCGUGUCACACGCCCGUGUUAAUUUCUCAGUAUCAACCACUAGACACGGACGUGUCCCACGCCCGUGUUGUUUUGACAGUUUCGUCCACGGCCAUGUCGUACGGCUGUGGCAACGUGUUGAAUCCCGUGUUAGGGGAAACUUUUGCUCUAUUUUCACACGGCCGUGUCGCACGGUCGUGUCACCACUCGUGGUAUAAGCACGGCCUAAGGCACGCCCGUGUGCCUGGCCGUGUGGUUUCUUGAAAACCUGUGUUCAAUUACUCAGUUAGUGAUUUGAAUGUUAAAAACUAAAAUUUAAAGAAGUUAACAUUGUUAGUGCUGAGUUGCCUCCCUAGGAGUGCUUAUUUAUAGUCUAAGCUCGACUUACCUCUCUGUUGCCUGGUCAUGGUGGUGCGAGGAGUUUACACUCCUCAUUCCUACUAUCAAACUCAAAAUAAGGUUUUAGACAGGUACGAUUUACCUUAAAGGGGCUGAAUUUAGGAUGAAUUACCUCGACGGUCCCAUAUGGAAAAAUGCUGAGUACCUUAAGAGGGAUUGUUCCAUUAGGUUCAGAAGUGGCAAUAUGAAGGUCUGCUGCAUCUAGUAGUACUUUGUCUCCAACCUUAAGUUGAUUUGGUGAAACAUUUAGCUCGUCAUGGCGUGGUUUUGGUCUAUCAUGUGCUCUUGGUUUCUGUGUCCGCCAUUCAUCUAGUUCCUCGAUUUGUAGCCUUUGUUCUUCAUAGAUGGGUCCUUUGUUGAUACUUGAACAAGGCUCAUGUAUGCUUUUCGAACGUGUUUCCUGCAAAGAAGGUUGCACCACAUGAUCAGUAUUAGUAGAAUUUCGAGCUUGAAGAGUGAUUGUUUCAUCACCCAUACGAAGUGUGAGUUCACCUGUACCAACAUCAAUAAUUGUUCUAACAGUUGCUAAAAAGGAUCGUCCUAAAAUCAAAGGUACGUCACUAACCUCUUCCAUGUCUAGAACAACAAAAUCAAUUGGGAAUAUAAAUUUAUCGAUUUUGACAAGUACAUCUUCACUAAUACCCCUAGGAAAUCUAAUGGUUUUAUCGGCUAACUGAAUGCUCAUCCUAGUUUGUUUGGGUUUCCCAAGACCUAGUUGUUUAAACAUUUUAUAGGGCAUGACAUUAAUACUAGCCCCUAAAUUAGCUAAUGCAUUAUUAACAUCUAAGCUACCAAUUAAAUAAGGAAUCAUAAAACUCCCUGGAUCUUUCAAUUUGUUGGCUAGCUUAUUCUGUAGAAUGGUUGAGCAAACUGCAUUCAACUCCACAUGCGACACUUCAUCCAACUUCCGCUUAUUUGCUAAAACCUCCUUUAAAACCUUAACUACAUUUGGCAUCCGCGAAAGAGCUUCAAUAAAUGGUAAGUUAAUAUGUAAUUUCUUUGAUAAUUUAAGAAAUUUACCAAAUUGUUCGUCGUGUGGUCUUUCCUUGUCGCAUUGGGGUAUGGCACACGAGGUUUGUACUCUCUACUUACCGAUUUUUGCUCAUUUUGGUCCGUCUCACCUUUAUCUUUACUUGCCAUAAUUCCUUGCCUCAGUUCUAGUUCAGGUUCAACUAACCCUUCCUCGUCUUGAAUGGUAAUCGCAUUGAGUUGUUCCCUUGGGUUAGAUUCAGUGUUACUCGACAGGCUACUUUAUGGUCAUUCAAAAAUUACUUUAACAAGCUGUCCUAUCUAAGUUUCAAGCCCUUGGAUCGAUGCUUGUUGAUUCUUAAGUGAUGUUUUGGUAUUCUGAAAGCGAGUUUCUGACACCAAGAUAAACUUUGUUAGCAUCUCCUCAAGGUCUGACUUUUUUUCCUACUGGUAAGGUGGUUGUUAAAAACCCAGAAGAUGUUGUGGCCCUUGAUUCCCUUGACUACCCCAUGAGACAUUGGGAUGGUUCCUCCAACCUGCAUUAUAAGUAUUAAUAUAUGGGUUAUUUUGAGGUCUAGAAUUAUUGUUACCCAUAUAUUGAACUUGUUCCUCCUCGGUGUUGGGGUUGAAGGAUUGAUAUUCUGUGUGUACUCCUCCUCCAUUUGAAUCACAUCUCAUCACUGGAUGUACCUGAGUAGAACCAUAUAAACCGUCAAUCUUUUUAUUUAAAAGUUCUACCUGGUUAGAUAGCAUAGUAACCGCGUCGAGGUUGAAAACACCGGCUGCUUUUGUCAGCUUUGUUAUCAUGACUUGCCACUGAUAGUUAUUCAGUGACAUCUCUUCAAUAAAUCUGUAAGCCACUUAAGGUGUUUUGUUAUUGAUAGUCCCACCAGCAGCUGCGUCGAUAAUCUGUCUAGUCGAAGGAUUCAGGCCAUUGUGAAAAGUUUGAACUUGUAGCCAUAGUGGUAAACCAUGGUGAGGGCACCUUCUCAAAAGAUAUUUGUAUCUCUCCCAUGCAUCAUAGAGUGUUUCUAGAUCCAUCUGUAGAAAAGAAGAGAUAUCAUUCCUUAACUUAGUCGUUUUAGCCAGCGAAAAAUAUCUAAGUAAGAAUUUUUCGGUCAUUUGUUCCCAAGUAGUGAUUGACCCUCGUGGUAACGAGUUCAACCACUGUUUAGCUUUGUUCCUCAACAAAAAGGGAAAUAACCGAAGGUGAAUGGCAUCAUCAGAAACGCCAUUGAUUUUAAAAGUGUCGCAGAAUUCCAAAAAUUUUGCCAAAUGAGUGUUUGGGUCCUCAUCCUGCAAACCAUCAAAUUAAACAAACUGUUGUAUCAUUUAAAUCGUGUUAGGUUUCAGUUCAAAAUUAUUUGCAGCAACAGCAGGCCUAACUAUACUUGACUCAGUUCCUAUUAAAGUAGGUUUAGCAUAAUCAUACAUAGUACGUAGAGUAGGAUUCUGAUUUACUAGAUCAGCAGCAAUCGCAGGAGGUAGCGAAUUUUCUUGAUUUUUAGCCAUCUCUUCGGUUGUGAUGAUAAUAUUGUCCUCUUACUCUUUCUCUAUAAAUCUUAGGCUUCGCCUUAUUUCUCUUCGGUUUUUGCGAGCUGUGCAAUCGAUCUCACUGUCAAAAAGAAAUGGUCCCGACAGGUUUCUUCUAGUCAUAAACUAUAAAAACUUGCCAGAAGGAAAAAGAAAAAUUAGUAACAAAAAUCAAAAUAAAAUUUAAAUUGCAAUAAAAUAAAUGGCUAAAGUAAUAAAAAUUAAAUGUUCCUAAUAUCUUAGUUCCCCAAAAAUGGGGCCAAAAACUUGAUUGAUGCAAAUCGUGAUAAGUUUUAUAAUUUAUGAAUGUUCGUUCUUGAAAACUAACUAUUAUCACGAAAAAGGCAAAUGCACCUUAUCGAACAGUAGUAUAGCUUAUGGCAAGACCGGGAUGUCGAACCCAAAGGAACUAAAAGUAGUAGUAUUAACUCUCCUUUUUAUUAUCUAGCCUAAAAAUAAAGGGGUUUGUUUUAUCUAAAUUAAUUAUCUAAACUAAGAAUGCACAAAAAGUAAAUUGGGGAAAUAACUUUUGGGAAAACUGAAUGAUUUGGAAAAUACCCAAGGGAAAAUCCACCAAGACUUCACUUGUUAUUGACUCUGAAUCAAAUGAUUUAUUCACUUGACUUGAUCCGUAGAAAUCUCUAAGUUAUAUUAUUAUCUCUCUCGAGACUAACAACUUCUAACCCUAGGUUGAUUAAUUGAAAUCUCUUUCUAAUUAAAACCCCUAGUGUUGCAUUAACUCGAUCUAUGGAUUCCUUUAUAAGGUUUCACCCUAAUCUGGUAAAAUUAUGUCACCCUAUGUCUAGCCGUGCAAUCAACCCCGCUUAAUUAUGCUAGAUCUACUAUUAAACAGGGACUUUUACUCCUCUGAAUAAGCACAUCAAUACUUGAAUCAAUAUCUUGGAAUAUUAAAGUAAGAAUUAAGAACAAGUCAAAUAUUUAUCAUAUAAUUCAGAAAAUAAUAACAAGAUCCGUCUUAGGUUUCAUUCCCCUUAGGUAUUUAGGGGAUUUAGUUCAUAAGUGUAAAAGAAAACAUCUCUGAAGAAUAAUGAUAACAAAACACAAAGAAAACCCAAAAACUCCUAAAGGAAAUUGAAGGGAGAUUUUUAGUCUUGAAGGAUAAUCUGGCUUCUGAGAUGGAUCAAUCGGCUUUCUUCGAGUAAUUCCUUGCCUCCUACUCUAUGUGUCUUUUCUAGGUACCUCCUGGGGUGUUUAUAUAGGCUUUAGAAUGCUUCAAAACCCUCAAGAGUGACCUUUUUCUGAAUAGAACUAGACUUGGGCUCGAUAGGGACACGCCCGUGUGCAAGUGCUUCAACUCGUGUUUGAGCCUGUUGAAUAGACACGGGCAUGUGGUCUACCCAUGUAAAGAAGCCUAGGCCGUGUUGAUUUCCCAUGUUGGCUCAUUUUCUCCAUUUUUGGCCCGUUUUUCGCUCUUUUUACUCUCUUAUGCUCACUUAAGUAUAAAACAUGAAAUUAAAGGAUUAGCAGCAUCGAAUUCACCAAAUUUAAGGAGAAAUCAUCCAUAAAUGUGCUUAUCAUGGAAUAAAAAUUUGUAUAAAUUACGGUUUAUCACUCAACAUCUUGGAAUUUUCCUAACUUGGAUACUAGUGAGACAUCAGUAUCACCUGUGAUAGAGACUGGGUCUUGAGAUCAUGCUGUUGGGGACGACGCACUGUCCCAAGCCAUGCUAUCGACUUUAGAAAGGGUCACUAGACCCAACACUGGAUCUAGGGGUCGAGGGUCGGUUACAGAAUGAAUCUGGUCCUAUAGGUCUAAAUUAUUCAGAGGUGUCGCUGGAGCCGCCCCUAAAGUGGCCGAGUAUCGAAUGGAGGCUACGGAGAGAAUUAUGGAUGACCUGGAUGUUACUACUGAGCAGAAGCUUAAGGGGGUUGUAUAUCUGCUUCGUGAUGAGGCGUACCAGUGGUGGUUUACGGUUAAGGAGGGCACUCGGCUCGGCCGACUGACAUGGGAUUUCUUUAAGAUGGCCUUCCAGGGUAAAUAUGUAGGGGCCAGUUAUAUUGACGCUUGUAAUAGCCCAUUUUGGGGGUUAAUUGGAACAGUGGUUUCGGGACCAUAAUCCGAAGUUAAAAUAUUUAUGUUAUUAUUUUAAUAAAGUCUACAGUAUGAUAUUAGAGAUGUGUGAAAGUCUCGUAAGGAAAUUUUACUGUUUGAGUGGUUAAUUCGGUAAAAAGGGCCUCAUCGCGUAAAAAGAAAAAGUUGAUAGUUAAAUGUAAUAAUGUUUAAUUAAAUUUGUCUUCAUAAUAUAAUGCAUUUAUAAUGUAACUAGACCAUUAUAAGGGUUAGUGGAAUUCAUGGCUUGGCAAAUUGGUAAAUAGAAUAAGUUUUAAAAGUUGGUUAGGUAAAUUGAAUAAUAAUAGAUUAAAUAAAUAAAAAAAAUACAAAAGUAUGCUCAUAUUGCUUCAUUAUUGCAGAAUAUGCAAAGAAAGAAUAGGAGAAAAGAGUUUUAAGGGUUCGGCAUAUUUGGGGAAUGAUUUAGGUAAGUUUUAAGCUCGUUUUUCGAUAAUUUUUACGUCUUUGAGAUCGUUGCUUCGUGUUUUACAAAACUCAUGCUUAAAUUUUAGAAUUUGAUGAUGAUUUCAUGAGAUGCCAUUGCUCAUUUUGUGAGCAUUGUGAUGAUAAAUGGUGAAAUGUGAAAGCUUGAUGAUAGAUAAAUAUAUUUUGUAUUGGGAUUUUUGAUGAAUUUGAAUAGUUUGGGCUAAUUUAUGAAAAUGAUAAAUUGAGGGACUAAAAUGUGAAAUAAAUUGUAUAUAUAAGCUUAUAAGGACUAGAGGAAAUUCGGCCAAGCAUGAGUGUGGUCAAAUUUUGAAUAUUUUGUGUUUUGUGAAAUAGGGACUAAAUUGUGAAAAAUGUGAAAUGUCAGGGGCAAAAGUACAAUUAGUCCAUUUAUGUGUUUUUAGAUUAAUUUGAUUGAGUAUAUGAUUAAAUAAGUUGAAUUUGCAUUGAAUUAGAUCAAGAAAUGAGAAAAUCGAAUUUGGAUGGGGGAAAGUCGAAAAUAAUCGAAUAGUCGUUUCGGUCCGUUCGUAUCCGUAUAAGGUAAGUUCAUAAGUAAUUGUCGAAACCAUUUUUUUGAAAAAAAACAGGAUAUCAACUUUGUUUGAAAACGAAAAUUAAAACGGGAGUCGCCACCGAUCUUUAUUGGGUGUGAUCAGAUCACCCUUGUUUUAAUAAAACAUUUUAGUUUACUAAAACGACAUUUUGGUCUACGAAAUUUGAGAAAACGGGUUCGGGAGUCGGUUACGUACGAGGAAGGAUUAGCACCCUCAUAGUGCCCAAAAUUGGUACCUAAUUGAUUAAUUAAUGUCUUAAUGUCGAAGUUUGAAAAGAUUUCAGAGUACAAUCCUUUUAUUUGAAAGAAAAUCGGGAUUAUUUGAAUAAAAUGUAAAGAUCGACUCAUUUCAAAGGAGAGAAUGCCAUACCCGGUAAGUUAGGGUCCAACAUUUCAGACCUUUGGGACUAAGUUGGUCUUUGAUUUUUAAAAUUCAUGUAUGAAGGCUCGAGAGAAUGAUAUUCGGUCCUCCAGGACUCAUGAAAGAUUAGAACUCAGUAAGUUAGAGCUCAAUCUCUCAGAUCUCCCAAAUACCGAAGGUUGCCUUGAUUUUGGAAAUCACUACCCUCAAUAUAACGUGAUGCCACACCCAGUAAGUUAGGGUGCAACAUCCUGAAUUUCAAGAAUAGGUUUUUAUUUGAACCUCAUACAAUUAUAUUUAAGAAGGGUACUCAAUUAUUUAGGUUCAACGACGAAAAUUAGUACUCAGUAAGUUAGGGCACAAUCUUCCCGAGGACCCCAGAUAUCGAAUAUUGCCUUUGUUUUGAAAACAAUCGAGGAUAAAUCUUUGAAUAAAAUGAAUUUGGGGCGGUUGAAACUCAACAAAAAAAAUGAUGACAUGCAAUAUGAAAAUAGCAGUAUAAUAGUAAACUUGACAGUGUAUAAAUUAAUACCUAGAAUAUAGUAAAUAUAAGGAAAAUCAACAAUAAUCAUAACAAUAGUAAUAAAUAUAAUAACAUAACAAACAUAGCGAUAAAGAUAUUAACAAUACGAAAAUGCAUAAUAGAAGUGAAAAUAAUAUGUCGAAUGAUGAUGUAUAUAUAUAGUGAUAAUAGUAAAGUUAAAAUAACAAUGCUAAAUUAGUGAAAGUGAAAAAUAAUAAAUAAUAAUAUAGUAUAAAAAAUAUUCGAUGAAAAAAAAACUAUGGUAUAUAAAAAUAAUAGAGUAGGUCUAUUAAUAAUUAUAAAAAACUUUAGCGAAAAAUAUAUAUAAAAAUUUCUGGGGUAAUUUGAAAGCAUUUAAAGAAAACAAAAAAGGACUUGAUUGAACGUAGGCACACAGGACAGGGACUAAUCACGAAAAUUUCCCAUUUAAAAGAAAUGUGCACAUUUCCAUCCCUUGAAUGCACGGUCAGCUUUUCCCCUUCCCCAGGCUCUACUUUUGAGGAGAAAAAAACAAAUGAAGCCUACUUUUUUAUUUUUUUUAUUUUUAAAACAUUGAACACCCUUUUUUUUAAAACAAAAAAAAAACAUUUACCCAUCAUCUCUCUUAUUUUCCUUAAAGAAAAACAGAGAGAAACCUCUCAAAUUUUCUCUCAGGCCUGCGCCACCCUCAUCGGAGGUCCGGUGAGCAAAGGUCGCGAGUUCGUCAGUAAGUCCCCUCUCUCCCUCUCUUGUUUUUUUUAAAAAAAACGUUUUUUAAAAAAAAUUAAAAGGGAACAGAACAAAUGAAAUCCAAAUCAAGAGAAAAUUCCAAAAAAAAUAAAAAAAUCACCUUCCAAAACUUAGUUCUGAUUCUUGAUUUACUCUUCCACUUUGUAUUAUCUCCGAAGAAAAAAUAUAUAUCCCCCCAAAAAUACAACCGAUUCUUCCCUUUGAAAUCUCCAAAAAAAUCCCCCUGUAUUACAUUCAGAUCUGGCCUUUAUAGCCAUUUCAAUACAACAUUUUUUUAAAUUUCUUACCAUUGCUUCCUGUCGUCUGCCUCUGUCUUAGUGUUGGCUUUCUUUUUUGUCUUAUUCUGCAGGUGAUGGAAAUCAACAGGUGGGUGCACAUGGAGGAGUUGGUGGGAGUGUCAGACGCGUGGGGCGUGGUGGCCAAGGCUGAGGGGCAUGGUGGCCGACAUGGUGGCAUGGAGAGCUAGGGUGCUAAGGGUUUGCUGUUGAAAAACCUUAAGCAAGUGGCCUGUUAUUUGGGCUAGGGUUUGAUGUAAAUUGGGCUGUUUAAUAUUGUAAAUAGGCUAAUUAUUUUGGACUCUUUUUUAUUGUUUUGGGUUUUGUUAUUUUUUAUUUGUCUGGGCCCGGGCAAUUUUCUGAUAUACAUAAAGUAAAUAGAAAAAGAUUCGAAGUGGAUUUCUCGACCCGUGAAAUGAAAAAAUAGCCUCUGGAGUUUUUUUGUUUUAUAUUCAUCUGAAGGAAAUAUGAGAAAGAAAACAAUAACAAUAAAUAAAAGAAAUAAAAUGAAGGAAAUAUAUCAGACUAUAGUAAUUUAAUACACAUAGAAAUUAGAAAAAUACAUAAAAAUAUUGAUUUUUAUCAAUUUCACGAACAAGAUCCAAGAAUAAGAUUAUUUGAUGGAGGGGGAGGG
This 9288-nucleotide long non-coding RNA is filed under the name Gossypium barbadense (sea-island cotton). RNAcentral's name for it is "long non-coding RNA (GBAR_LNC007376)". The stretch from base 3134 to 3240 matches the Rfam family "Plant small nucleolar RNA R71". The record is from RNAcentral. Lineage: Eukaryota; Viridiplantae; Streptophyta; Magnoliopsida; Malvales; Malvaceae.